UAUUUUAAUAUUCUUAUUUUUGCAUUCGAAUUUUCGAAAAGGUGAAUCGUGUGCAAUUCACGAACUGUCGCGCAACUGUGUAUGUCCUUCGACAUGAGUCAGAUCCCUGAAAAUUCGGUAAAUACUUU
Molecule: non-coding RNA, 128 nt
Filed under: Elizabethkingia anophelis
Lineage: Bacteria; Pseudomonadati; Bacteroidota; Flavobacteriia; Flavobacteriales; Weeksellaceae
Source: RNAcentral